Neofelis nebulosa (Clouded leopard) is the source of this 12273-nucleotide long non-coding RNA. RefSeq lists it as uncharacterized. NCBI's taxonomy places the organism in Eukaryota, Metazoa, Chordata, Mammalia, Carnivora, Felidae. The record is from RefSeq and is a predicted model, not a curated record. The transcript is spliced from 3 exons.
CUUAGGGGCGCCUGGAUGGCUCUGUCAGUUAAGUGUCUGACUUCGGCUCAGAUCCCGAGCUCAUGUUUGGUGAGUUGGUUCGAUGUCAGCAUAGAGCCUGCUUCGGAUCCUCUGUCUUAUUCUCUCUGCCCCUCCCCAACUCAGGCACACCUGUGCUCUCUCUCUCUCUCUCAAAAAUAAAUAAAGAUUUAAAAAAAUUAAAAUAGAAAUCUCCCUCUUAAUAAAGCGGAACACACACUUUGCAACAAACAUAUUUUAGAGCUGAUUUGAUUAAUUCAUUUGAAAACCAGAGCUCUGGGCAGUUAGUUGCUUCUAGAAACAUUUGUUUUUGAUUUAACAUCUUUGGCAAGACAAAAAGAUAAACAGAAAUGAUGCGGCUUCUUAGAGAAAGACAAUGUUCCACUCAUUUUCUCUCCGAGGAAGCUUGCUAUAUAUUUUUUUCCUCAUGUCAGAAAUACAUGGAGUGUCUUUUCACAGAGAAAUACCAUACUUCCAAAAUGGCUCUUGUCUUCAUGGGGCUGAUAAUCUAAGCAGGAGAUACAGUACAACGCAGGGCCAAGUUGGAGCGUGUGGUUAAGGAGUAGUUCAGACGAAUCCCCCACCGUCUGCAUUGGAUUCCAGUUUUUGAUUUUUCCUUCUUUUUUUCCAAAUUCCUUUUUUUUAAAAUCUUCCCCCCUUUCCUAAUUCCCAGCUGCUGAGAAAACACUCUGACCUCAUCUGUGCUGGCAACAAUCAAAGCCCUUUGUGCUGCUUGUUGGGUGUGCCUGUCCUGCCCUGAGAAUGUGGCAGCUGGUUGGCCAUUGUGGACAGAGAAGAGCUACUGUCACUUAUCUUGACAGGCUGCUUUUCUGUGAUGUGGGCAACCCCCAGGCCCCGCUUCACAGGAUAAGAGAGGAGCACCGGUUUGUAGUGGGAAGGCCUACAUGGGGGUGUCAGAACUACCCUCACCUCUGGAAGCCUGUCUCCUCACUGGGACCAGGACAGACCUCCUGUUUGAAAGGGCUGUGCGUGGAUUUGAUGCCCAGACUUGAAAGUUCCCUGAACCAAGAGAAGCAUGUGCGAAACACAUCAAGGGACUCAGGCUUCCCAAAAACCCAACUUCAUUGUUUUUCUUGGAGGUGGAGAGAGCUGCUGUUCAGAAAAAUUUCCAAGGUUUCUGUGAUUUGUUAUGAAUUGAAGGUCGUUCCCUGGAUCAGAUUCGUAGGAGGCACCGGAGUCCGCCCGACGGUCAACGUGGAAGCAGAUGUGAGCUGGCAAUUGUGCAGCGGCGGAGAGAAAACACUCAUUUGGUUUGCCUCCUUGGGUUUCACUUUGCGCCUCCCCAGACUGUCUUCUCCCCGAUUUCCACUAGAGGGCGCCGAGCCCCCAGCUGUGCCGGCUCUCCAAGUAGGGGUCUUUUCUGAUCCUGGUCCCAGGGGCCUGCUGCAGAGACUCCAGAGGAUUCUGGAUCCAGUUUGGGGUUCAGGGUUCCCUCAAAAGGUUGUUUGAGGACCUAAUUUUGAGCGACCUGCCCCUGUUGAAAUUACUUCUGCCACUUUGGAACGUCUGCUGAGAAUAACCAGGAUCCGCAUUUCCACUGUACUUUGUGCCUCACAACAUACUUUUGCGGUUACUGUGCCAUCGGAUACUUCCGCGACCGUAAGGCAUGACUCCUUUCCUUCCCACCUCACGGAUGAGAACAACAAGGUCCAGAACGAGUAAGCGCUGGCCCUGGGACUUGAACUCACAUCAUGUGAUUCAAAAGGGAUUGCUCCUAUUUUGGGGGGGUCUUGGCAGUAUUAAGAAUUCAUUUGGGUUUGACUCCAGGGAAACCCUUCAGACUCCGCGAGCUUCACAUGGGUGUGCAUUAUCAGGAAAUUAAGACAUUCCCUCCAGACACUCUUCAGAAAAUGGCAGCACGUAUUUUUCCUGGACUGGUUGAAGGGCAUCCUUUCUUAGGGCAGCGGGAUGGACUGGACAAGCCCUGGAGGUGGCUUCUAGCCGUUCUGUUCUGCGGAACAAAGCAUCCAGAAAUAGACGAAUCGGUCCCUUUUACCCCAGUAACAUUUGUGGCUAACUGUAUGAAAACAGGCCAUUUCCAGUCUAAUUCAUAACUACCGUAGAGUCGUUUUAGGAGGUGCUCAUCUCAGUAAUGGAUUCAAAAAUUCUCUCCGGCUUAAGACCUCAUUGUUCUGGAGCACGGCGGCUGUCCCGCCUGAAGCAUGCAGUUCUCCCCGUGGCCACAGGGUGGCGGGGUGACCUUAAGCUUCUUCCUCGCCUUUGGACAGGAAACGCAGCCCUCAUCAAAAUGAGCAAAAUGGAGCAACUCGGAGCGGGUUCAGAGUGACAUACACUUCACGUUUAUAACCCCUUAAAAAGGGAGCGGCAAGCGCUCUGUUUCCAGAAUGUCAGCGAUGGGAGGUAGUGAGGAGAGGGGAUGCUGGGUUCUGAGACAGUAGAAGAGGCUCGUAGUGUGGAGGGCCAGGUCUACUGCAGCCCAUGGCCCGGUUACCUGGCCGAGGCCGAGGGGGCUGUGCCCUGCGGAAGCCCACCGUUGGGCCUUCCAAAACUAUUGCUGUUCCCCUUCUCUGUCUCGGAACCUUCUUUCCUGGGGCUCUGCUUUUAUAGAUUGUCCCCAGGAUGUACUCGUUAUGUCUUAAAGGGGUGCUUCGUGCUGUAUAAGUUGGGGAGGGGGGUGAUGCACCCUCCAAUGGGCAACAACCCCUUUCUGAGCCUCAAAUUGAGACAUAGGCUUCUGACAUGAGGGGCCGUAUUUUGGGGGAACGGUGAGGAGACAUUUAAAUGUGGAUUCUGGGUUGUACAGGCACCUCCCACCCACACACGGUGGAAGCCUGGAGAGACUUGAGGGAGCGUUUACUGCUUGCCUACUGUGGGCAUCAUGAUGCAGGUGCGAGCUCCCGUGGGGCCAAUGCGGACCCUACUAGGUGCCGAUGGUAGGAGGAUUGGGCAGGAGCCUGACCCACCCUACUGAUGCCCACAUGGAAACUGUGAACUUUCACCUCCCGCACUUCUGCCAAAGCCCUGGAUGCCGCCGUGUGGAGACAGCAGAGCUUUAGUGUCAUUAGCUCUAGUCUUCUUAGCCGGCCUGGCAGAAGCGAUGUUGAAUUUCAACGUGGGAAGUUUCCAAGCACAUCUUGAGGGAUGCAGGAGCCUCUAACACUUUUCUGUACAUGUGAUUAAUAUUCCUUUCCUCAAAUUUGAGACCCACGGGUGGGUGUUUGUGUAUCAGACACACGCACACAUAACACACACAUGCCUCGGAAUGGGGAGGCAUUGCCGUUCAGGUUUCAAGACGGAGGCUGCGUGUAAUAGCUUCUUUCCUCCUUCUGGAUUUGGUUUCGCUUCAAUAUUUAUGUCAUUCACUUAUUAAUCUUUUACAGGUAUUCUCAGAACACCUACUGUGUGCCAGGCAAAUUAAAAUGAGUCAGAGUCAAGCUUAUUUUUAGAAAAAGACAGACCCCAGGGAAUCCAUCCUUUUUUUUUGGUAGGGAAAAGGCAGGGCUGAGCCGUGUGGCUGAGAAUGCGGGUCUGGAGCUGCCGCCUGGGCGGGAAUCCUGGCGCAGGUGCUCCCUGUCUGUGUGUUGUUCGCUCAGUUUCCUCAUCCUCGUAUGUGGGUAAUGGUAGGACCCACAUCACUCUGUUGUUGUCAGGAGCAAACGAACGAGUAAGAAGGGCUCCGUACCAUGCACGUGGAAAGAACACAAUACACACAGAGCCCUUACUCUUCUUCUUUUCUCCUUGUGAACUAAAGUUCCCCAGGAUCCUCGUUAGGCUGAGAUCUCUCCUGUGCUUAUGGACCAGCUAACAUGGAGACUGAGGAUGAACUGGACCCGGCUGUUUCUGUUUUGGGAGCUGGGAGCAGCUGAGGAGGCCUGUCAUCGCGGCCAGCAGGGAAGAAGCAGGUGGUGACGGAAUGAGCUCAGUGAUGAGCCAUCACUCUGGCCAUUGGGGCAGGGGGGUGAAGACGGGCGACCCCUGCUGUGGCCCGGACUCUGAUCGAGGUGACUGCCUGGGAGUCACCAUCCUCCUGAGACAUCACUUGCCGGUCUUUACACAAACUGAAGUCCCUUAAGGAGACUGUGACCCUCAGAAACAAAGAAAGACCCUUCUUUGGUCAAGAGGAUUCUAGGGCAUCAGGAGAUCACCUUUAGAGACAGUCCAAGCUCUGGUUUCUGAGGGAUCCCCCAGGUCAUGGAGCCCCCGUGUCACCUUUUAGGGCUCAGUGAUCACGGCACAGCUCCAUCCAUGAUGGUGCCCAUGGGGCAAGGCACCCCUGACAAGGUAGUGUCUACAUAUUUUAGUCUGGUCUUUCUAGAGUUGUGGCUUCACCCUGGUUCUUCCAACCUCAUUCCUGAAGAUGUGUGGGAAGGAGCCAUGUGCAUUCGUCCCCAAGCCUUGAGUCCCCUGGAUCAAGAAUGAGUGACCCCAAGCUCUCAGGAGCAGGGGGGCAGCUCCUGUCAGGGAGGCUCCAAAAGGCUGUGAGCUGAGAUCCACUGGGGGGCUUCAGGCUGCCCUAAAACCAGGCCCGCAGUGGCUAAUGGGCAGGUGUGGUGGAAUUGUGGGUAGCUCGGUGACACCUCGGUGCCACUCAAGGGGUUGCUUUGUAAGCGUCUUCUAGGAGAGCGAUGGGGAGAGGGCAUGAGAGCAAGAAGGCCCAACAGCAGGCCCCAGAGGGGCGAAGAGAUACCAUAGGAGGGGUGAAGCUGGGGAUCUCAGGUUCUUUGCUAGGCAGGUGACCUUGAGUAGGCUAUUUCACCUUGUGGGGCCUCACUUUUCAAACCUAUAAAACAGGAAGAAAAAAUGUUGCCUCCAUCACUAGGCUGAAUCAACACGAGUCCAGCUGCUGUGUGCAGGUGGCCGUGCUCCUUGAACAGAGGCUUCUGCUCUGGGACUGGCCUGUCUGCAGUACCCAUCCAGGCAUUCCUGGGGUGCCCCCUGCCUGCCUCCGGCUCCGUCUGUCCCAGGUGAGGAGCACUUGGGCUGUCCGCAGCCCGUCUGUCCUUGUCACACGGCCAACACAUGCCCUUCCAGGAGCCAGGUCCAGGUCAGGCUCGAAGUCCUCAAGCUCUGACCUCACCAAACUUCCUCCUUCCUCACUCUGCCUUCCACGUGUGCUGUGCUCCCUCACGCUGAGGUCCCUGUGGGGCGCCUCACCUUUGCUGACACCCUUUCCUUCACCCAAACCCUCAGGUUCCUCAGUCUCCAGUACUGGUUGCCGUUCAGCCGACGGGGCAACACAGGCUUCAUGGUGCUAACACCAUAACCUCCCACCCCCUCCCACCCUCAAUCCAAAGUGCUCUCUCUGCAGUGCCUCGAAGUUGGCAUAAAGAACAAUAUUUGAGCCCCAUGGCAGGGCCAAGGGGCUGGAAAUUCCUCUUAUCCUAGGCUGUUUGGGCAGCUUUGCCCUAGUGUCAGUUUUGCUGCUAUGAUUCCCCCUCAUCCACCUCCAUUUGAGCUUGUGGCAAGGACACUUACAGUGUCCCCUCUCCCUGCACUCCUCCCCACACCCCCAUGCCCCCAGCACCCAAACUGCUGGUCCCCCUGCAGUCCCCACUGACAUGGACAGUACAGUAGAUCCGGGAGGGUUCGGGGUUUGCAGCAUGACUAAGAUAUGUUGCCAUUCACAAGAUGCUCAUAGGCUGAGUGGGGGAGACAGCCUGGCUUUAGAUCUGGCCUCAUUCUUGCAUCUGUAAGAUGGAUUCAGGCAGGUGCCUCAGCUGAGCAAUACCAACCAUCCUGGGUGUUCCUCACAUCCGCUGAUGCCAGGCCGUCAUGUGUCCCCAUUGACAAGCAUAUACUGAGCACUUCCUAGGUUCCCAGUACUGCCUGGGGUGCUGGGGGGAACUUUUAGUGAACAAAGCUAUUUGCCUCAUGGAGCUUCUGGUUUUGUGGAGAAACAGAGGAAACGUAAAACAACAUAAAUUGUUAUGUCUAUCAAAGUGGUGAUAAUUACUUAAUUGUUACCUUUGCUUCUGCCCUUGGCAUGCCAGGUGCUGCUACUUCUGGGAAAGAUCUAGAUCGUCUGCUGUGGAUGAGACCUCAUUUGCUUAUUCUGAUGUUUUCAUGCAGUCCUUCUCCGCCAGAGUUCCUCAUGGAAACCACAGAACACAGAACAUGAUCUUAGUGACAAUUUUCUCAGCUCUGCCAAGGAUUGUUCAGAACUAGGACCACUCUGGAUGCAGACGAGAGGAGCAAAUUCACUACAUACAAUGGAUGUCUUAGGGCACUGGGCUUUUAUUCCCCCCUCCGCUUCUUUGUGACAAGUUUUCCAUUUUUCAUCCUCUGAACAUUGGUUUCUCUCGCUUCCUGCCUCUUCUGAAACUUUUGUUUUUUAACCCCCCUUCUUGGAUUAUUUCCUCUAUCCUUUAUCCUCCUGAACACAGAGGAAGAAACAGAAAUACGGAGCAGAGGUACUUUCAUUAGUGAUGGGUGAUGGUUCUUGAUUUGAAAAUCUACACGCAGAGGGGUGGGAUCUAAGACAAAAAUUGUUGCCUGCCAUAGGUAGCCAAACAGGACUUUUUUCAGGUUAACCAUUAAGAAAAAAAAUGAAAUCCACUCAUUUCAUGCUCCUCCCUCCACAGCAGCUGACUUUGCUAAUAGAAUAGGGUUCUCCUGGAUUAGGGGGAAAACAGGGCAAAUGAGAAGCUGGACAGAAGGAGGUACUCUGCUGAUGGUGGUGGGAUUUGCAGACUGAGUGCGAGAAUAAGAGGCUCUGGUUAUGAGCAGGAGUCCCUGGGGCCACUGUUAUAUCGUUUUCCUCCUGUCUCUUCCCUAGACCCCUGGCUCCUUUUUUCAAGGGCAUGAACCCCAUUCAGUGUGGACAGAGGCUGUGGUCCCUAUUCACUGCGGUCUGGGGUCUCUCUAACCCUGGGUGGAGCACUUGGAGGACAAGGAGAAAAGUAGGACUUCCUCCUAAAAGUGCCCAGCCCAGCUGUGACUUUGAUUCUGAAAGAAGGCCUUGCAGGUUGAAGACAAUGAUUUGUUAUUGUUACUGUUUAAUAUUCAUCAAAUGCUUGUAAUGUGUUGGACGACAUUGAAAAAGAUUUGUGGUGGGUAAAAUUAAACUGAGCUCAGAACUGGCCUGCUGCCUCCAGGUCUGGCAGGCCAAGUUCUGGUUUCUUCUGCUUGUCCACAAGAAUGACCUCAACCAACCAGGAAUGGGAAGCCACCACCACCAUAGCCCUGCUGAUAAUUCUCCUUUAAAAAGGCAUGAAUUCCUAUAAUCUUUCCUGCCUUGGGUUACAGAAGGGGUGAUGCUAUGGUUACCUUCAAGCAUGAAAGAUCCAGGGAUGUAAGGUGACCCAAAAAAGUGGCAAAGCAAAUCAGUGUGAAUGACAUCUUUGAGCCAAAUCUACAACAUCAGCAAAGCUGGGCUUCAGUUUUCUCCCCUUUCCCCUGGUUUGGAUGCUGCCUCUGUAAGACAUGUGGACUCCUCUUACUCCUCCUGCCUCAAGACCACCUGCCAGGAAUUGAUUAUGUAUGCUCAUUUGAACUAAAGAAUGUUAAAGAGAGAGAGAGAGCGAAUAGGCCAAAAAUGGAGUCACUUAUGCUAAGCCCCAUGUCACCAAGCUGAGACUUAACACUGCAUUUAAUUACAGUUUCAGUCUCCCCCUAGGAAUCUUAAACCAGUCAGUCUGGAAUUACCUGGUCUGCACUAGUGAGGUAAUCUUCCUGAGACACCCCUGAAGCUCCCUGGAGGAAAGUGAUCUUGCCACAACCAGUUCACUCUUUACCGGUAAUACUUCCUUCUCCCACUCUCUUCUGCCUGCACAAAUUGGGUUGGAAUGACACUAGGCUACCCACCAACCUCAUGAAAGUGUCCAUGAUACAAGGUAAACUGUAAAACACCACACAAUCCCCAAGCCAAUGGCACAUCCCUCUUAGGUAUUAUUUGGCUCCAAGGUACCCAGGGCCUAGUGAAAGCAAUGUGAUCCUUAAGUCCUGAAGACUUGAGUGUGCUAUUUUCUGUUAUACUUGCUUAUUUUAUGUCCAAGAACUGUGGUCCUAGAAACUAAAAGUAUUGACAAAAAGGCAAAAUCUUAACUAAAAACAACUUAAAAUACAGUGACCAUUAUGGGGAGUGUUCCAAUCAGACAAGAUCAUUCUUUUAAGACAUGCACUUGAAAGCAAGGAUUGCUGGGUUAAACAGACAGAAUAAGAUACCUAUUUUAAUUGGCAUUCACAAGCUUCCAAAAGGCUUCAAGAUUUCAAAAUAGCUCUUUCUGAAAGAUUCAUUGCAAAAGCUAAUGAAAAAUUAAAGACACAAGAGGUACCUAAAACAAAAGACUACAAGGCUGACAUGACUCCUACUGCUUCUCUCUCUCCUCUUUUACCUGUGUCCUCAUUCCAGUUAUCCUCUGUAUGAAUUGUCUUUCCAUUCUGAACAGAUUACACAACCAUAAACAGAAGUCUACCAAGUUAAUGACCUUACAGACAUCCCUGGUAUUUACCUUUGAAGAAGCACUCCCAGGAUGUGCUCUGGGACUCUUGAGGGAUUUUCUGGUAAACCUCUGUGUUAUUCCCUUAAACAGCCAAGGGAAACUACAAUUAAAAUUACGGGAAAAUGUUCUGGCAGAUAACAGAGCCUACAGAUGGGGUCCUGGGAAAACUGGCCCAAACCAGGAAAGGGUAAGUGUUCUUACCAUAAUCUCUGCCUGUAGUUUCUACUCAAGGCAAGAAAAUAAAAUUUCCUGUGAUUCCUUCCUUUCCAAAUCCAGACCUGUUGGCUAUUAAUCCUUUCUUUCCCAGGGACAGCCAUUACCUUCUCAUUUGUCUUGUUUUGUGUCCUGAUAAUUUGGCUUUGUAAUGGUCAGAUUGGAAGCCCCAAAAUAUGGCCAGACAGAAAUGUGGUUUGCACCCCAUUUGUGGCAGUCUAUGUGUAGACAGAAAUAUGGGUUGAACUCCAUGUGUGGCUGGGGUCCUACCUCCCAGCCCUCAUGGGAAUUGUCAAAGUCUUGCUUUCUUCUGGUUAUCUUUGGGAGUGGCUCUGGAUCCUAGGAGUAGUAUCUUUUACACCCUCUUUGGGCUUGCCUAUUACAUCCACGGCAGGUUAUUUAGUAUUUCCAGGAAUAUUUACUGUUUGUCUUGACUGAAAUCUAAGGUGUUUGAAAGGAUUUUUUUUAAGUACCUCUGUGGUCAAAGGUUGGCCAAAUUGGAAGCUGAUUUUCAGAGCCCGAUAGAAAUUUUUUUAGGUCUUCUCUCCUAAACUAAAUGUACCUGGGGCCAGGAGGGAGGAGCACCUUCUGAAACCUUUUUGAAGGGAUUUACUAAGAGAUUCCAAAGCACAGCUAUAAAUCCAGAACAUAGAAAUAAUGUGGUUUGAUAGGCAGAUCAGCUCCUUGAUGUAAUUUUGGCUGCAGCUUAACUCUGAGUAAUUAAAAGCAACUGGCAUUAUCUUACAAAUCUUUGCAAAACAAGAAAUACAGCUCUAGAAACAAUUUAAAAUCCACUUAUUUUUUUGGCCAGUCCAGAAAUUCCCCUAUUUAUCUCAAAAAGCUUGUAAGUAUUGUAAAAAUUCUGACCUUAGGAGACAAAAUCCCUUCUUGAAGCUACUGGCAUUCUUUUCCCAUGCCUUUGAGAUGUAAGUGUUCUACCUGGUCUUCUCCAGAAACUCUUAUCUAAGUCACCUCUUUGAAAUGGAAUUUCAGGGAGGAAACUCUCAAUGGAAGGAAAACAAAGAGGGGAAAGGUGAUUUGCAACUUUGGUGAAUGAAAACUCUUAACUGUGCUAUAGCCACUGAACAGGGAAACUUAAAUUAUUCCUUCUGCCAGAAACACAACUGGGAUCUAACUUCUUUUGUAACCAGUGCUCUUUGUAUUAGUUUACCUGAUUCAUUGCCAGAACUUCAGAACGAAAUCUGCAUCUCUGUUUGUGUCUGUCUGUAGAUUUAUGUGUCUCCAUAUUUAUAUGUCAUAAAUGUGUGAUAUUUUUCUACCUCCAGAUUAUAUUGCUAAAUUAAUUUAUCAAAGAAUUCUAUUUAAUUGAUUCAAAGAUAUCUAGGAGUGCCUGGGUGGCUCAUAUGUUAAGUGUCUGACUUGAAUUUCGCUCAAGUCAUGACCGCAGCAUUGUGGGAUCAAGCCCCACGUUGGGCUCCAUGCUGAAUGUGGAGCCUGCUUAAGAUUUUCUCUCGCUGCUCCUCCCCCUCCCCACUUGCUCUUUCUCUCUCUAAAAUAAAAUAAAAUAAAAUAAAAUAAAAUCUAAUUAAUAGGUAAGAGGGGCCAAGGUGCUUAACCAUUACUCUGUAUCAUUAUAUGUACCACACUUGGGAUGGUUUCCCAUGGCCAGUGGGUUCAGCCCUAGCUGAAUAUUAGAGUCCUUUGUUUAGUGGGGAGGGUGCUUUUAAACCAUACCAAUGACUGGGUCCCUUUCCUGAGAUCCACAUUUAAUUGGUUUGGUGGGAGAGAAGGAACAGGAUUGAGUGUGUUUAGAACACUCCCCAUGUGACUGCCAUGAGAAAGCAGAAUUGAGAACCCCUGCUAAUGAGGAAGGCCAGAGAGAAGGGCAGCAGACAUAGGGGAAGAGGUGAGGGAAGCUUUCAGGAAGAUUUUCUCCAAGGACUGAAAGGGUGGUGGCUGUGACUGUGCUUAUUAAAGAAACUUGAUCUUGAGUUCUGGGAAGUAGUACAAAUGAAUUAACUCUGCUCUCAGGGAAGAGAGGGUAUGGAAUGGCUGACUCAGAGGGUAGCCCUGAAAGGUAUUUAGUUCAGAGAGACCAGAAAUUUGGGACUAUUCCAGCAGCCCUCAGGGCCCGAUCUUUGUUUUUCUUCCACCACCCCACCCCCCACCACCACCACAUAGUGGCUGGUUUGACUGGAAGAGCCAUUUGCCAUGAGCACUGAGGUGCCAUCGAGGAGGACCCUGGGAGGGGAAAGAACAUGGCAUAGGGAAGACCAGGGAAAGAGAAUAUGAACACCUGGAAUUGUGCCACCAGCAUGAGAAUCCUUCCAUAGCAUGGAGCAUUGGGUCCAGGUCUCAGGAGUUAGAGUUAGUCUCUCUGUGGUUUCCCGCCCAGGGCAUGCUGCCCAUGCCUCCACUAGAUGAAUCCCAACAGGCCAAGGUUGGUUGUUCCCCAUUCUGUCUUCAUCAGCACUGUAAGUGCACCUGACAGUUCAGGAGUAUAUCUUGUUCAUCUGUGUACUUGGGUGUGUUUAGAACACUCCUCAUGUGACUGCAGUGACUGCAACCCCAGUGCUUAAUGCAAAGCCCAGACAUAAUAGUUGUCCAAAAGGAUGACUAACUACCCUAGCUUGCGUGAGACUGAAGGGAUGUCCAGAGAUGGAACUUUUAAUGUCAACAUGGAGAGAGCCUUGGCAAACUGGGAUGGGUUGAUCACUUUAGUGCCCACUGACACCUCAAAAGCAAGACCCCAAACUGGUGAGUUCUAAGCCUUCAAAGCUGCCUUGGAUAGUGUUGGCAUAGCCCAUCUGGAGAGCAGCUGUCUUCACAAAGGAUGUCUCUGACAUGGCAUGAAGACUCUACCAAGGUCACUGAUCUCACCAAUUAUUUCCUAUUUCUUCUGACACGUGGAAAAUAAGUGAUACCAACUAUAUGGAUGCUGGAGGAGGAAGUAGGGGAAACAACAUCUUAAAUCAGAGACCAAGAGUCUUCAGAUUUAGAUGGGAAACUUACCUCUGCUUCUAACUGAGAAGAGAGGAAUGUUUGGAAAACAACACCUGGCUACACGAAUGGUGCCUGAGAAUGGAAAUGUACCACGCACAUUACAUAAUAAUUAUCAAAAUAGUGGUUACUCUCUUUGAACACUUACUUUGCGCUAGAUGCUGUAGUAAGACAUUUUUUAAACAUUUAUUUGAUAAAUAUAGGAAAACAUAAAAAAUUAAACCGUCCUCUAAUCCCAGUUCUGAGAUGGUAGUUGCGAUUGGAUAAAGUUAGACAGGAGAACACUUCUGCCUUCUCUUGGGCCAUCGAGCGUGAACACAGUUUUGGAGUGCGUCCUUCUUGACUUUCUCCAGGUGACGCAGACGUAUUUAUGUCCGUAUCUUGCAGACGUGUUUUUACAGGUGGAAUGAAUAGGUACGUUUGGUCUGCAACUGUUUUUGUAUUGUUUUUAGCAUAUAUAGACAACCUUCCUUCCAGGUCAUUGGCUAUUGAUCUUCUUUGUUCUUUUAACUUCUGCGUAACAUUCAGUGUAUGAAUCCAACAUAGUUUUUCUACCUCUCUUUUAUUGGUAAUUUACUUAUUUCAAGUAUUAUUAUAUUAUGUUAAUUAUAUUCUAUUAUAUUAUUAUAAAACAAUUAAACAUGUUUUACAUAUUUUA